CCUGCAUGAAGCCGGAAUCGCUAGUAAUCGCGGAUCAGCAUGCCGCGGUGAAUACGUUCCCGGGCCUUGUACACACCGCCCGUCACACCACGAGAGUUUGUAACACCCGAAGUCGGUGGGGUAACCGCAAGGAGCCAGCCGCCUAAGGUGGGACAGAUGAUUGGGGUGAAGUCGUAACAAGGUAGCCGUAUCGGAAGGUGCGGCUGGAUCACCUCCUUUCUAAGGA
Molecule: ribosomal RNA, 226 nt
Filed under: Cytobacillus praedii
Lineage: Bacteria; Bacillati; Bacillota; Bacilli; Caryophanales; Bacillaceae
Also listed under: 1 other name
Description: Bacillus praedii partial 16S ribosomal RNA
Rfam family: Bacterial small subunit ribosomal RNA
Source: RNAcentral